GAUGAACGCUGGCGGCGUGCCUAAUACAUGCAAGUCGAGCGAACAGACGAGGAGCUUGCUCCUCUGACGUUAGCGGCGGACGGGUGAGUAACACGUGGAUAACCUACCUAUAAGACUGGGAUAACUUCGGGAAACCGGAGCUAAUACCGGGUAAUAUAUUGAACCGCAUGGUUCAAUAGUGAAAGACGGUUUUGCUGUCACUUAUAGAUGGAUCCGCGCCGCAUUAGCUAGUUGGUAAGGUAACGGCUUACCAAGGCAACGAUGCGUAGCCGACCUGAGAGGGUGAUCGGCCACACUGGAACUGAGACACGGUCCAGACUCCUACGGGAGGCAGCAGUAGGGAAGCUGCCGCAAUUGGCGAAAGCCUGACGGAGCAACGCCGCGUGAGUGAGGAAGGUCUUCGGAUCGUAAAACUCUGUUAUUAGGGAAGAACAAAUGUGUAAGUAACUAUGCACGUCUUGACGGUACCUAAUCAGAAAGCCACGGCUAACUACGUG
RNAcentral lists this ribosomal RNA (497 nucleotides) under uncultured bacterium. RNAcentral's name for it is "partial 16S ribosomal RNA". It matches the Rfam family "Bacterial small subunit ribosomal RNA", at positions 28 to 507 of the family's 1533-position model. The record is from RNAcentral.